CUAAACAUUCAGGCCCUGCUUCCUCCUCAUGAAUCUGCAGCCACCCUGCUCUGCAGCAUGAUGUGGGCGAGAAUGUGGCCUUUCUGCCUGCUUUAUCCCUCAGCUAUGCAGCAAUGAUGAUUACAACUAAAAAAAUAAUGCAAAGAUGCCAUGGUGCUGGACACAUAGAUGUCCUCCCUGCAUGUUUUGAACAAAUAAGGUCAUGAAUGCAGUUUGCUGACAUUACUUUUGACACCUACUCUCCUGUAACGGAAGCACUAAGUUUUGUGGAGGAUUCCGAAGGUUGUGCUACGAAACACCUGCCUACAGCGCCUGGCGACCUGGCCGGAGGAAACAAGAUUAAAGGAGACACAGUUAAGAGUGAAGGAGGUUGUGAGUGCAUGAAAACUUCUGCUCAGGAGUGCUAGCUCUGACCUGGAGCCACGUAGACUUUCUUCUUCCUCCGGGAGGUCAGUUCUUCAAAGCGCCAACAGCUGAUCUCAUGUCUUCCUGGCUUCUUCUCCCCAAACUCCUUUCAAACGUUUGUGCAAUGACUCUGUGCUUUUUUCAGACCACCAAGCCCACGGGAGCAAGAGGUGAGCAAUCGUCCACGGCUGCUUGCUUUGGGCUCCCCGCUACGCCACGAGACAGCGCUAGAUGGCGCUAUAGUCAAGGCCCCAUAGGGUGCUCUAGGAAUUUGGGACUAUAGGACAUUGCCCACUCCUCCAGCACCAUCAUGCAUCAUCGUCCUGAUUUCCUCAGUGAUCACUGUAAGUCCAAAUGCAGCUCCUGGAAUGAUUCACAAUCACUCCAUUCUGCUCUGCGUGUGAUGAGGACGCCAGUGUUUCACGGUCCACUGCCCUGUCUUCUCUCGAGGACAGCAAAGCGGUUUUCCUUUGAAGAACCACUCCCCUACUUGCCAACGUGCUUCUUGUGGGUCCUGCCUACCACGGGUGCCACUUAGAGAUGGGUCCCCGCUGGCCGCAGUGGCCGACUCAGCGUGCAAGGUCACCAGGCCGGCGCUGAGGACCCUGGAGCCGCUGCAUCGGGGCUGCCGCCUGAGAUUCCCGCUGAACCGGGGACAGCGGGGCACGGUGAGCAAGGAGAGGCUCAGGGAGCACCACGUGGGUCCCAGGUCCCGUCAGGAUGGAAGCUGCCGCCCACGGGCCUCCCCGUAGUGCCAGCAAGCAAAUCCUCCUCUCUUCUGCAUAGUCCGGUUUGAGUUUGGGUUUUGACAUCUGGACCUGAGAAUUAUAAUAUAAUCCCUAAGCUGACCCUACCUCCUGCCCCAUCCUGGGGGCAUUUCAUCGCACCCCCUUGGAGCACUUUCUGGGUGACCACUGCUGUCACCAUCUUGCCUGAGACACACGGUCCACCUCCUUUAGAUGGGCAAAACCUGGUUCCCUGCGACCCUCAGAAGAGCAUUUCCGAUUCUGUGGCCCCCACCAGUACUGUUCCCGUCAUGAAUACACGGGGUUCUUAGCAUUUGCUUAGGAUCAUUUAUAAUAAUGAUAUAUACACUCUGG
RNAcentral lists this long non-coding RNA (1505 nucleotides) under Heterocephalus glaber (naked mole-rat). Its description in RNAcentral is "lncRNA (ENSHGLG00100047192.1)". Lineage: Eukaryota; Metazoa; Chordata; Mammalia; Rodentia; Bathyergidae. The record is from RNAcentral.